RNAcentral lists this long non-coding RNA (1330 nucleotides) under Cyanistes caeruleus (blue tit). RNAcentral's name for it is "lncRNA (ENSCCEG00000001035.1)". The record is from RNAcentral. Lineage: Eukaryota; Metazoa; Chordata; Aves; Passeriformes; Paridae.
UAGUGUUUCUGAAAUGAUAUGUGUAAUUAGAGACAUGCUGUUAAGCUUGGAAUUGAGAUGAGGCUGCAGUAGGUAGUGUGGAGGAACUCUAGCUUACAGCUUUAUGUUUAAACUGAUCUUUUCAUUCUUGGCAAAAGCAAAAACUCCUGAUGUAAAGAAGAAAUUCAUUUUACCUUGAGAAUUCUUCUUUAGGUAGGAAAGAUGCACACAAACUGCAGAUGUAGGUUAGAUGCUCUCUGCACCUCAGACCAUAAGGAGGUAUCACAGCACAGUCCCUUGUCUGCCUUUUCCAUCAGCACAGAAGAUGUCACCCGGCAGAGGAGCCAGAAGGUUAUAGAAAAGAAUAAUGAACCAUUUCUAGCAGCUUAGGCUGAAGAAAUCUCUGCUUCAGGAGCUCAGCAGUGUGGAAGGGAAGCUGAACACAAACACACCCUGAGGGAACAAUGAGAUGAAGGACAGUUUUCAGGCAUUAGGGGUGGAUUCAGCCCGCCUGACCUAGGUACUAGACAGCUUCCUGGGGUCUGUUGAAGCCCCUGAGAUGGUUUGAAUGCCUGUCCAGUCACUGGGGAAGGCUGCUGCUUGUGGAGUUUUCCAGAGACAGAUCACAUCUGUGUAAAGUACUUCACAAUGGAUGGAUGGGAUCCUACCUUUGGCAGAUUUAUAAUCAUCAGUAACAACUUAUAAUUUGUCUUUAAAGUAAGUGGGGCAAUGUCUCAAUUUCUUCCAAAGCUUCUGGAUACUAUGCAUAUGUAGCUACUAAAGGGCUAACACAAGGCUCCUAUUUCUGGCAUGUGAGAAGAAUCUGACAAGUUGGUACUUUGCCGUGGGACGUGCAACUGCAUUUUAAGUCCUUGAUCUCAGGAGAUAUGCAAGACAGAGAAUGUACUCUUUGGGAGUAUGCCACAGGGAUUUAAGGGCUUCUAGACACAGCUCAGGCUCCAGAGGCUUGCAAGUGUUACAUAUGUGAAGACUGGGUUCCCAGUAGACCAUCUGAGCUUCCAACAGAGGGUGUGUGAUUAGGUUUUGUCCCUUAGGAUAAUGAGAGUCUCCAUUUUCUUCAUGCAUAUUCAGCAUAUAUAAUCUUUUAGGCUUGAUUGAUUUUUUUCCUUUUAUACAGGGAAGAGGAAUAUAAGGUUGUUGGUAUUAACUUGACUUUGAGAGCCUGAGAGUCACUGGAAUCUCUCUUAAAAAUAAUUAUUUUUCUAAGUUCUUCAGAAUUUUGUUCUGUAUUAAGUUGUAGUUGUGUGAAUAUUUUCUUCAACAGCAAAGCUAGUUUAAACUAUCUCUUCAGUCAAAUAAAACAUCUGCAAUGACACUGCUGGAAACUGCA